Molecule: ribosomal RNA, 398 nt
Filed under: uncultured bacterium
Lineage: Bacteria
Description: bacterial SSU rRNA
Rfam family: Bacterial small subunit ribosomal RNA
Source: RNAcentral
AGCGAACGCUGGCGGCGUACUUAACACAUGCAAGUCGAACGAGGAUCGCCUGUGUAGCAAUACAUAGGCGGUUCUAGUGGCGUACGGGUGAGUAACACGUGGGCAACCUGCCCUUGAGUCCGGGAUACCCUCUCGAAAGGGAGGCUAAUACUGGAUACGUUCCUCGGGUCGCGAGAUCUGGGGAGGAAAGGUGGCGAAAGCUGCCGCUCUUGGAGGGGCUUGCGGCCUANCAGCUAGUUGGUGAGGUAAUGGCUCACCAAGGCUAUGACGGGUAGCUGGUCUGAGAGGACGACCAGCCACACGGGAACUGAGACACGGUCCCGACUCCUACGGGAGGCAGCAGUGGGGAAUUUUCCGCAAUGGGCGAAAGCCUGACGGAGUGACGCCGCGUGGGGGAC